RNAcentral lists this ribosomal RNA (1436 nucleotides) under uncultured organism. RNAcentral's name for it is "SSU rRNA". It matches the Rfam family "Bacterial small subunit ribosomal RNA". The record is from RNAcentral.
CGCUAGCUACAGGCUUAACACAUGCAAGUCGUUGGGCAUCAGGAAGAAAGCUUGCUUUCUUUGCUGGCGACCGGCGCACGGGUGAGUAACACGUAUCCAACCUGCCCUUUACUCGGGGAUAGCCUUUCGAAAGAAAGAUUAAUACCCGAUAGCAUAAUGAUUCCGCAUGGUUUCAUUAUUAAAGGAUUCCGGUAAAGGAUGGGGAUGCGUUCCAUUAGGUUGUUGGUGAGGUAACGGCCCACCAAGCCUUCGAUGGAUAGGGGUUCUGAGAGGAAGGUCCCCCACAUUGGAACUGAGACACGGUCCAAACUCCUACGGGAGGCAGCAGUGAGGAAUAUUGGUCAAUGGGCGCUAGCCUGAACCAGCCAAGUAGCGUGAAGGAUGAAGGCUCUAUGGGUCGUAAACUUCUUUUAUAUAAGAAUAAAGUGCAGUAUGUAUACUGUUUUGUAUGUAUUAUAUGAAUAAGGAUCGGCUAACUCCGUGCCAGCAGCCGCGGUAAUACGGAGGAUCCGAGCGUUAUCCGGAUUUAUUGGGUUUAAAGGGAGCGUAGGUGGACUGGUAAGUCAGUUGUGAAAGUUUGCGGCUCAACCGUAAAAUUGCAGUUGAUACUGUCAGUCUUGAGUACAGUAGAGGUGGGCGGAAUUCGUGGUGUAGCGGUGAAAUGCUUAGAUAUCACGAAGAACUCCGAUUGCGAAGGCAGCUCACUGGACUGCAACUGACACUGAUGCUCGAAAGUGUGGGUAUCAAACAGGAUUAGAUACCCUGGUAGUCCACACAGUAAACGAUGAAUACUCGCUGCUUGCGAUAUACAGUAAGCGGCCAAGCGAAAGCAUUAAGUAUUCCACCUGGGGAGUACGCCGGCAACGGUGAAACUCAAAGGAAUUGACGGGGGCCCGCACAAGCGGAGGAACAUGUGGUUUAAUUCGAUGAUACGCGAGGAACCUUACCCGGGCUUAAAUUGCAGUGGAAUGAUGUGGAAACAUGUCAGUGAGCAAUCACCGCUGUGAAGGUGCUGCAUGGUUGUCGUCAGCUCGUGCCGUGAGGUGUCGGCUUAAGUGCCAUAACGAGCGCAACCCUUAUCUUUAGUUACUAACAGGUUAUGCUGAGGACUCUAGAGAGACUGCCGUCGUAAGAUGUGAGGAAGGUGGGGAUGACGUCAAAUCAGCACGGCCCUUACGUCCGGGGCUACACACGUGUUACAAUGGGGGGUACAGAAGGCAGCUAGCGGGUGACCGUAUGCUAAUCCCAAAAUCCUCUCUCAGUUCGGAUCGAAGUCUGCAGCCCGACUUCGUGAAGCUGGAUUCGCUAGUAAUCGCGCAUCAGCCACGGCGCGGUGAAUACGUUCCCGGGCCUUGUACACACCGCCCGUCAAGCCAUGGGAGCCGGGGGUACCUGAAGUACGUAACCGCAAGGAUCGUCCUAGGGUAAAACUGGUG